RNAcentral lists this unclassified non-coding RNA (276 nucleotides) under sea anemone metagenome. Its description in RNAcentral is "partial contains small subunit ribosomal RNA and internal transcribed spacer 1". The stretch from base 1 to 158 matches the Rfam family "Eukaryotic small subunit ribosomal RNA", at positions 1678 to 1831 of the family's 1831-position model. The record is from RNAcentral.
GCUACUACCGAUUGAAUGGUGUAGUGAGGACUCCUGAUUGGCGCCGCCGCCCCGGCAACGGAGCAGCGGACUGCCGAAAAGUUGUUCAAACUUGAUCAUUUAGAGGAAGUAAAAGUCGUAACAAGGUUUCUGUAGGUGAACCUGCAGAAGGAUCAAGAGAGGAAGAGCGUCUUGUAGGGGAGGAGUGUAGACGUCGGUGGUCGCCGUAUCAUUAAAAAAAAAAAAAACAAAGCCAUAAUACACUGUUACCAUAACGCGUACCAACAUCCGCUAGAC